AGAUGGAAGCUAUGCUAGCAGACUGGCAGACUUUAGAAAUGCUUCAUUACAAAAGGACACUCAAAUGCCUAAUAUCUCCUCAAUGCUGACAGAUUUUGAGGAAUACUCUCGGGAUGGAGGGGUGAAACGAGAGCGUGAGUGUGUGAUGUGCUUGUCGGAGGAGAUGUCUGUGGUUUUUCUACCAUGUGCUCAUCAGGUGGUAUGCACGACAUGCAAUGAGCUCCAUGAGAAGCAGGGAAUGAAAGAAUGUCCUUCUUGUAGGAGCCUGAUCCAGCAGCGGAUUUCUGUGCGUUAUGCUCGCACUUAAACGUCACUUCAGGGAAUGAGUUAAAGCUAUCAAAAUAAUGAUCGAGCUCCAUGAGAAACAGGGAAUGAAAGAAUGUCCUUCUUGUAGGAGCCUGAUCCAGCAGCGGAUUUCUGUGCGUUAUGCGCGUACUUAAAACGUCACUUCAGGGAAUGAGUUAAAGCUCUCAAAAUAAUGAUUCGUGAAUCUUCAUAAUGAAUAAUGCAUUUGUGUCCCCUUUCGGAAAUCUGGACAAUUAUGUGACUGUUUUCAAGAAUGAAAAAGUAACAUAAAUAAGAAAAGCAAAAAAGAAAAAGAGAUAAAGAGUAUCAAGUGUGGCCGUUGUAAAUCAUCUAUUCCCUAUCAAAUAAAACUUGAGUUUUCCUCCUUGUUUUCUUUAAUACUAUGUGUUUCUUUAUCGACCAUAUGUUUUAAGUGAACUUGGCCAAUAAUGUGCUCCCUAUUGUUGUGAUCUUCUCUGAAUUUGUGCAUUAGAGUGAGGAUCUCUUUGCAUCAGUAUGCGACACAUUGUAUAUACUUGGCACUU
This 830-nucleotide long non-coding RNA is filed under the name Nicotiana benthamiana. RNAcentral describes it as "long non-coding RNA (NBEN_LNC032884)". The record is from RNAcentral. Lineage: Eukaryota; Viridiplantae; Streptophyta; Magnoliopsida; Solanales; Solanaceae.